AGGUGCGAAAGCGUGGGGAGCAAACAGGAUUAGAUACCCUGGUAGUCCACGCCGUAAACGAUGUCUACUUGGAGGUUGUGCCCUUGAGGCGUGGCUUCCGGAGCUAACGCGUUAAGUAGACCGCCUGGGGAGUACGGCCGCAAGGUUAAAACUCAAAUGAAUUGACGGGGGCCCGCACAAGCGGUGGAGCAUGUGGUUUAAUUCGAUGCAACGCGAAGAACCUUACCUGGUCUUGACAUCCACAGAACUUUCCAGAGAUGGAUUGGUGCCUUCGGGAACUGUGAGACAGGUGCUGCAUGGCUGUCGUCAGCUCGUGUUGUGAAAUGUUGGGUUAAGUCCCGCAACGAGCGCAAC
This 354-nucleotide ribosomal RNA is filed under the name Salmonella enterica. RNAcentral describes it as "bacterial SSU rRNA". It matches the Rfam family "Bacterial small subunit ribosomal RNA", at positions 749 to 1102 of the family's 1533-position model. Lineage: Bacteria; Pseudomonadati; Pseudomonadota; Gammaproteobacteria; Enterobacterales; Enterobacteriaceae. RNAcentral also lists the same sequence under 7 other names. The record is from RNAcentral.